GCCUAACAAAACCACUUACGAGAACCUUCUAGAAACUCUCAAAAUCACUACACCCACACCCUUUGCUGAGCAGGUAAUCUCUACAUCUGUCUUGCCUUUUCGAAUAACUGAAUGCUUUGAGAUGCUUCAAUUAAACAACCACCGUUUAUUCCGAAAAUUGAGAUAACUAUAUAACCGAUAAAGACACGUGCAUGUCGUUUACUGAAAUUUUCUUUGGAGGGUUUUGUCUAUUAGCUAGCCUUGUUUUGAUUUUGAAUGUGGUGGUGGUGCAACUUGGAGCUACAGAACAAAAAAUCAAUUUGGACAAUAGUAAUCAAGAUGAUGAUGAUGUGAAAAUUGUAAGGAAACUGACAAAUACUGACAAGAACAACAAUAAUAAUGAAACACGCAGAUAUUUUCGUCUCCGAACUAGUAGUAUACGGUGCCAAUUCAGUCAACACGAUAACCAUCACUAUCACCAGAAAAUAAAUUAAAAACAUGUAUAGUAUAUACUUGGCCAAUGCUAUAUUGUUUAAAUUCUUACUUUUUUUAAUCAUGUGUAAAAUGACAGGAUUUCUUGAAUAUGUUCUUCGAGAAAACUUACAAACCGAUUCCUCUGAUCUACAACCUCGUUCUUGCUAUGCUGUGGCGCCACCCCGAAAAUGUCGAGCUUGAGAAAGUUCAAGUCGUUCACUACUGCGCUGCUGUAAGAUUUAUCCCACCUACACACACACACACACACACACACAUGUAUAGUAUAUGUAUAAUACAAUCGAAAUGACAUGGUUAAUAUGAAUAAAAUACCAGGGAUCGAAGCCAUGGAGGUACACUGGAGAAGAAGCUAACAUGGACAGAGAAGACAUCAAAAUGCUUGUGAAGAAAUGGUGGGAUGUUUACGACGAUGCUUCACUCGAUUUCAAGGCUGAAGAUUCUGUUGCAGGCUCAAGGCCAUCAAUCAUGGCUUCCAUGCCUGAACCCGCAGUUUCAUACAUCCCUGCCCCUUCUGCUGCUUAAGCAGAAGAAAAACAAAACACUGAAG
This 1018-nucleotide long non-coding RNA is filed under the name Erythranthe guttata (spotted monkey flower). RNAcentral's name for it is "long non-coding RNA (EGUT_LNC002387)". Lineage: Eukaryota; Viridiplantae; Streptophyta; Magnoliopsida; Lamiales; Phrymaceae. The record is from RNAcentral.